CAGCAGCCGCGGGAAAACAGAGGGUGCGAGCGUUAAUCGGAUUUACUGGGCGUAAAGCGUGCGUAGGCGGCUUCUUAAGUCGGAUGUGAAAUCCCUGAGCUUAACUUAGGAAUUGCAUUCGAUACUGGGAAGCUAGAGUAUGGGAGAGGAUGGUAGAAUUCCAGGUGUAGCGGUGAAAUGCGUAGAGAUCUGGAGGAAUACCGAUGGCGAAGGCAGCCAUCUGGCCUAAUACUGACGCUGAGGUACGAAAGCAUGGGGAGCAAACAGGAUUAGAUACCCCCGUAGUCCCUGUCUCUUAUAU
This 301-nucleotide ribosomal RNA is filed under the name uncultured bacterium. RNAcentral's name for it is "partial 16S ribosomal RNA". It matches the Rfam family "Bacterial small subunit ribosomal RNA", at positions 509 to 809 of the family's 1533-position model. The record is from RNAcentral.